GCCGGUUUGGCGGCGUAGUUGGUUAGAGCGCGCGAUGGCAGCGUGACUAUAAAUCUUAGCUGUGGGUUCAAAUCCUGUCACCGGCA
Non-coding RNA from Rhamnusium bicolor, 86 nucleotides. The record is from the annotation of a GenBank genome assembly. NCBI's taxonomy places the organism in Eukaryota, Metazoa, Arthropoda, Insecta, Coleoptera, Cerambycidae.